Molecule: regulatory RNA element, 126 nt
Organism: Oleispira antarctica
Lineage: Bacteria; Pseudomonadati; Pseudomonadota; Gammaproteobacteria; Oceanospirillales; Oceanospirillaceae
Rfam family: Ribosomal S15 leader
About the family: The E. coli Ribosomal S15 gene 5' UTR can form two alternative structures.
Source: Rfam
GCAUCCUACUGUUAAUAUGCACGGUGGAGAUGUUUGGCCGAUUUAACCGCAUAUUAUGGAGAUACUAUCAUGGCAUUAACUGUCGAAAAUAAAGCUGCAAUCGUUGCUGAAUAUCAACAAGCCGAA